AUUGAACGCUGGCGGCAGGCCUAACACAUGCAAGUCGGACGGUAGCACAGAGGAGCUUGCUCCUCGGGUGACGAGUGGCGGACGGGUGAGUAAUGUCUGGGGAUCUGCCCGAUAGAGGGGGAUAACCACUGGAAACGGUGGCUAAUACCGCAUAACGUCGCAAGACCAAAGAGGGGGACCUUCGGGCCUCUCACUAUCGGAUGAACCCAGAUGGGAUUAGCUAGUAGGCGGGGUAACGGCCCACCUAGGCGACGAUCCCUAGCUGGUCUGAGAGGAUGACCAGCCACACUGGAACUAGGACCCGGUCCAGACUCCUACGGGAGGCAGCAGUGGGGAAUAUUGCACAAUGGGCGCAAGCCUGAUGCAUCCAUGCCGCGUGUAUGAAGAAGGCCUUCGGGUUGUAAAGUACUUUCAGCGGGGAGGAAGGCGAUGUGGUUAAUAACCGCAUUGAUUGACGUUACCCGCAGAAGUAGCACCGGCUAACUCCGUGCCAGCAGCCGCCGCGG
RNAcentral lists this ribosomal RNA (506 nucleotides) under uncultured bacterium. Its description in RNAcentral is "partial 16S ribosomal RNA". It matches the Rfam family "Bacterial small subunit ribosomal RNA", at positions 29 to 523 of the family's 1533-position model. The record is from RNAcentral.